AAAGUCUGACGGAGCAACGCCGCGUGAACGAAGAAGGUCUUCGGAUUGUAAAGUUCUGUGAUUCGGGACGAAAGGGUUUGUGGUGAAUAAUCAUAGACAUUGACGGUACCGAAAAAGCAAGCCACGGCUAACUACGUGCCAGCAGCCGCGGUAAUACGUAGGUGGCAAGCGUUGUCCGGAAUUAUUGGGCGUAAAGCGCGCGCAGGCGGUUUCUUAAGUCCAUCUUAAAAGCGUGGGGCUCAACCCCAUGAGGGGAUGGAAACUGGGAAGCUGGAGUAUCGGAGAGGAAAGUGGAAUUCCUAGUGUAGCGGUGAAAUGCGUAGAGAUUAGGAAGAACACCGGUGGCGAAGGCGACUUUCUAGACGAAAACUGACGCUGAGGCGCGAAAGCGUGGGGAGCAAACAGGAUUAGAUACCCUGGUAGUCCACGCCGUAAACGAUGGAUACUAGGUGUAGGAGGUAUCGACCCUCCUGUGCCGGAGUUAACGCAAUAAGUAGCCGCCUGGGGAAGUACGAUCGUAAGAUUAAAACUCAAAGGAAUUGACGGGGCCC
This 551-nucleotide ribosomal RNA is filed under the name Dialister pneumosintes. Its description in RNAcentral is "bacterial SSU rRNA". It matches the Rfam family "Bacterial small subunit ribosomal RNA", at positions 378 to 921 of the family's 1533-position model. Lineage: Bacteria; Bacillati; Bacillota; Negativicutes; Veillonellales; Veillonellaceae. The record is from RNAcentral.